AGGGGUUAGACUACAUUUGCCCCCUGCCUAUUUCUCUAGGAAUUGCCAGUUUAACAAAGCUUUGGAGAAGAGGACCCAAAGCAGGGACCUGAUAAAGUUGGCAUUUGAACACAUACCUCACAGCCCAGUAUUUGGCACAUCUUUGCCUUCAGAGAAAAAAGGUCUAUGUUUGAGUAAGUCAAAACUAUUCAAGUGGCUCCCUCGGCCUUAGCGCCAUCUUCUCGGAAACCUCUGCGCCAUGAGAGCCAAGUGGAGGAAGAAGCGAAUGCGCAGGCUGAAGCGCAAAAGAAGAAAGAUGAGGCAGAGGUCCAAGUAAACUAGCUUGUGCACCGUGGAGGCCAAAGGAGUGCCAGGGGCCGGGGACGUUGGUACAAGUUGGGCUGUCUCCUACUGUCCACAUUUUGUCUCGGUGGAUUUAAGAACUUACAUCGCCACCUCGUCGUCAAGAUCACCACUGAGAGAAGACCCACCUUGCUUUUAACAUCCCCUGUUGGUCCUUUGCCCGGGACCUUUGGCAUUCUGGACUAACUCGUUUCUCAGUUGUGGCCAGUGUAACGCGUGUACAAUAAAUCAUCCCUUCUGUUUUAGCUGAAAAAAAAAAAACUAUUCAAGUGUAUGGGGCUAGGAGCU
RNAcentral lists this long non-coding RNA (630 nucleotides) under Marmota monax (woodchuck). Lineage: Eukaryota; Metazoa; Chordata; Mammalia; Rodentia; Sciuridae. The record is from RNAcentral.